GCCCUGACCCGCAAGGGAGGAGCGGCCAAGGUAUGACUACAUGAUUGGGGUG
Molecule: ribosomal RNA, 52 nt
Filed under: uncultured bacterium
Lineage: Bacteria
Description: partial 16S ribosomal RNA
Source: RNAcentral